AGUGCUGAUCAGACCUAGUAAGCACAAAGUCGCAAAUAUCCCAGACACCCUGACCACAGACACACAUGUAUACCAAGGACAGGAAUAAAUACCUAAAACUGUAAGGCACUGCCACCUUCUUAGAUGUCUUGGUGAGAGGUCCACUGUUCAGAGGGCACACUGAGAUAUAAGGCGAAGGCCUUUUUGGAUCUGUAGUGUGCUACCUCUUUAAUGGGAAAUCUUAGAGGCUAUCAGUAUUGAAUGGUGACCAGAGGAAAAUACUGCUCUACAUAUAGGUCUGGGCUGUCAUACAAACUGAUCUGCUACUGGGGCCUCAUGACCUAGCAGAUCCAAAAGUAUUCAACAUGUUUGUGGCAGAUGCAAAUGCUGUUUAGAACCUUCGAGAGGUCGCUGUAGAAGCACAAUGCAAAACUUCAGGAUUUUGGAGCAAAACUUUGUCAUCUUUUGCACACACAGUGUUCUCUUUUGAUAGCUCCUGGUGUGCUACUGGACCUUAGUAGAGAUAGAAUGUCUGACUCUGAGCCACUAAGUAACCAUUCAACCUCUUCUGCCCUUCAAGAACUGGGAAAUGUCUGAAAAAACAAGUAAUGAAACGUGUGUAUAGCAGCACUCCAUUACAAGUUGUAGUUUUAUAUACGAGAUUGGUCUCAAGCAAGACCUAAAGGUAAAAGUAAGAGGCUCAGAUUUGCAUGGCUCCUCCUCUUGCUGCAUUAACUGCUGUCUCUCAACGCAAGCAUACUGUAACAUAUUGAUGGAGGAGGAAAAUGCUGAGUCUCGUUUACUGAUAAUUCUAUGUAACAUGCUGGCAUCACCUAAAGUGGAGAACUGCGAGAUUACUGCCCCAUCCAAGAAAACCCUUCAGCAGCCCCAUUCUUCAGGAACCGUGAAGGACUAUGGCAAAGAGAUGAUAAAUAGCCAAAGACGUCAAUGGCACCCAUGGACAUAGUAAGCAUAGUAGGAGCUGAAAAACUAGAAGCAAUGACAAUGUCAACUAUUUUGAGCAAAAAGAAGCAGUGUCUUCGGAACAUUUGAUCAUAAAACCAGAAAUUAAAGGAUG
Molecule: long non-coding RNA, 1057 nt
Filed under: Homo sapiens (human)
Lineage: Eukaryota; Metazoa; Chordata; Mammalia; Primates; Hominidae
Description: MIR4458 host gene
Source: RNAcentral